RNAcentral lists this ribosomal RNA (482 nucleotides) under uncultured bacterium. RNAcentral describes it as "bacterial SSU rRNA". It matches the Rfam family "Bacterial small subunit ribosomal RNA", at positions 30 to 507 of the family's 1533-position model. The record is from RNAcentral.
AUUGAACGCUGGCGGCAUGCCUUACACAUGCAAGUCGAACGGCAGCACGGGAGCAAUCCUGGUGGCGAGUGGCGAACGGGUGAGUAAUAUAUCGGAACGUGCCCAGUCGUGGGGAUAACGUAGCGAAAGCUACGCUAAUACCGCAUACGAUCUAUGGAUGAAAGCGGGGGAUCGCAAGACCUCGCGCGAUUGGAGCGGCCGAUAUCAGAUUAGGUAGUUGGUGAGGUAAAGGCUCACCAAGCCGACGAUCUGUAGCUGGUCUGAGAGGACGACCAGCCACACUGGAACUGAGACACGGUCCAGACUCCUACGGGAGGCAGCAGUGGGGAAUUUUGGACAAUGGACGCAAGUCUGAUCCAGCCAUUCCGCGUGCAGGAUGAAGGCCCUCGGGUUGUAAACUGCUUUGUACGGAACGAAAGGUUUCUAUUAAUACUAGGAGCUCAUGACGGUACCGUAAGAAUAAGACACCGGCUAACUACGUG